This 305-nucleotide ribosomal RNA is filed under the name uncultured bacterium. RNAcentral's name for it is "bacterial SSU rRNA". It matches the Rfam family "Bacterial small subunit ribosomal RNA", at positions 338 to 640 of the family's 1533-position model. The record is from RNAcentral.
CCUACGGGAGGCAGCAGUGAGGAAUAUUGGUCAAUGGGAGAGAUCCUGAACCAGCCAAGCCGCGUGAGGGAAGACGGCCCUAUGGGUUGUAAACCUCUUUUGUCGGAGAACAAAACCCGGGACGUGUCCCGGACUGCGUGUAUCCGAAGAAAAAGCAUCGGCUAACUCCGUGCCAGCAGCCGCGGUAAUACGGAGGAUGCGAGCGUUAUCCGGAUUUACUGGGUGUAAAGGGCGUGUAGCCGGGCAGGCAAGUCAGAUGUGAAAUCCAUGGGCUCAACCCAUGAACUGCAUUUGAAACUGCUUGU